This 378-nucleotide unclassified non-coding RNA is filed under the name plant metagenome. Its description in RNAcentral is "partial contains 5.8S ribosomal RNA, internal transcribed spacer 2, and large subunit ribosomal RNA". The stretch from base 1 to 105 matches the Rfam family "5.8S ribosomal RNA", at positions 50 to 154 of the family's 154-position model. The record is from RNAcentral.
GAAAUGCGAUAAGUAAUGUGAAUUGCAGAAUUCAGUGAAUCAUCGAAUCUUUGAACGCACCUUGCGCUCCUUGGUAUUCCUUGGAGCAUGCCUGUUUGAGUAUCAUGAAAUCUUCAAAGUAAAUCUUUUGUUAACUCAAUUGGUUUCUACUUUGGUAUUGGAGGUCUUUGCAGCUUCACACCCGCUCCUCUUUGUUCAUUAGCUGGAUCUCAGUGUUAUGCUUGGUUCCACUCGGCGUGAUAAGUUAUCUAUCGCUGAGGACACUGUAAAAGGUGGCCAAGGUAAAUGCAGAUGAACCGCUUCUAAUAGUCCAUUGACUUGGACAAUACUUUUAUGAUCUGAUCUCAAAUCAGGUAGGACUACCCGCUGAACUUAAAC